AGUGAAAGGGAAUAGUCAGUUCCUUCCUACAAAUUCAUCAUGUGGUAUCUUUACAGAGGGAUUUUCUGUUUCAGGAAAAUAAUAAGGGUAGAGAAGGAAAUUGCUAAGGAUGACCUAGGUCAACACAGAGAAAGACUAUCCAGGUAUGUGCUAGUAAAAUAUGGGAGCAGGCUCUGCGAGGAAUAUUCUCAGCUUUAAUAGAUGGUGGAGUGUAGAUGAUUCUCGGUAAGUGUGCUCGCGACACUAAACUGGGGGUUUGGAUCGUAGCUUAAAAUAACAGAAUCACUUCAUAAAAAGUAUUUUCCUAAAGAAAGAAUACUUUGAGAAAUGUGAAUGGGAAGAAAGAAGUGUGGAGUCGGGCUAAUGUUUGCAGUAAUCCUUUUUAUUUAUUUUUUUCUUUCCUUACAGAAUAAAAUAUUCCUGUGGAUGGUCUUUCUAAGGGUCUCGGUUGUCUCGUUCCUUUCCCAGGAUUCUUGGACUAAAACACGAAAACAAACAAGCAAACAAAAGCUCGUCAGCUGGGUCCACUCUGUUAAACUGAGGUUGGAAGAGGUGAUCCAAGUUUCCAGAUGCGCUGUUAUGAAAAGGAAGAGGAAGGCGCCGAACCACACAUGCUCAGAUCCUUCUCCUAAACCUUCCGAGCCCCACCCUGCAACUUUCUAUCUUCUUCCUCUUUAGGCUUCUGACACUACUCCUCAAGAUUCUUGACCCUGAAGAAUGAUGGAUACCGUAAAGAAUUAUUUGGAAAAUUCUAUUCUAAGAAAUAAUAUCAUAUGUUUGUGGUCCUAAUAACUGUGAGAAGUUUGGACACAAGGAGUCUCUGGGGAGUGUGAUGUGGGAAGUGCCAACAAUUUGUUGCUCCAAGAACCUGCAUUUGUACCCUUCUGCCUAUUGUUAUUUGGCAUUUCCACCUUGGAAUCACUUCUUUGGGCUACAGCAUGAUUCCUGAGGCCCCAAAAGGAAACAAAACAACACAAAACAAAAACUUUCUCUGAGACGAUCACCAUGGUCCUCUGGAAUCCAUCAUUAAAUGCUGACUGGGGAUUUUUCCAUAAGGAUACAGAGCUAGGAUAAGCCAGUUCCACCAGCAAAGCUGAGUGUAGAUGAAAAGCCCGUUUUAGGUUAUGACUUUGUGAGGUCAGACAUUGGACAGAGAGAUGUCAAGUCGAGAGGCAUGAGAACAUGGCUGAGAGAGGAGACAACAGACUACACAGUCUACACAGCAGACUCUGCAGCUCUGGGUAACCAUAUGGCAAAAGAAGAAUCCAGCAUUUCUACUAGUGAAGAAAUGAAAGACAACUGGCAUAAAGAAAAGAAAGAUGGUUGGGGUACCCAGGUGGCCCUGCAUGGGGCGCUGUGCUGACAGCUCAGAGCCUGGAGCCUGCUCCGGAUUCUGUCUCUCUCUCGCGCUCUCUCUCUCCCUUUCAAAAAUAAAAUAAAUAUAAAAAAAAAAAAAGAAAAAAAA
Molecule: long non-coding RNA, 1465 nt
Filed under: Felis catus (domestic cat)
Lineage: Eukaryota; Metazoa; Chordata; Mammalia; Carnivora; Felidae
Description: lncRNA (ENSFCAG00000045442.2)
Source: RNAcentral